AGUGCAGGGUUCCUAGAUGCAUAAGAACGGCUCCGGAUGGUCAACUGCUUUGGUGGGGAGCGACCCGGCGAACUCUAAUACAGUUUGCUAAUGACGGUACCGUAAGAAUAAGCACCGGCUAACUACGUGCCAGCAGCCGCGGUAAUACGUAGGGUGCAAGCGUUAAUCGGAAUUACUGGGCGUAAAGCGUGCGCAGGCGGUUUUGUAAGACAGUCGUGAAAUCCCCGGGCUCAACCUGGGAAUUGCGAUUGUGACUGCAAAGCUGGAGUGCGGCAGAGGGGGAUGGAAUUCCGCGUGUAGCAGUGAAAUGCGUAGAUAUGCGGAGGAACACCGAUGGCGAAGGCAAUCCCCUGGGCCUGCACUGACGCUCAUGCACGAAAGCGUGGGGAGCAAACAGGAUUAGAUACCCUGGUAGUCCACGCCCUAAACGAUGUCAACUGGUUGUUGGGUCUCUUCUGACUCAGUAACGAAGCUAACGCGUGAAGUUGACCGCCUGGGGAGUACGGCCGCAAGGUUGAAACUCAAA
Molecule: ribosomal RNA, 526 nt
Filed under: uncultured prokaryote
Description: bacterial SSU rRNA
Rfam family: Bacterial small subunit ribosomal RNA
Source: RNAcentral